GACGAACGCUGGCGGCGUGCCUAAUACAUGCGAGUAGAACGCACAGUUUAUACCGUAGCUUGCUGCACCAUAGACUGUGAGUUGCGAACGGGUGAGUAACGCGUAGGUAACCUGCCUGGUAGCGGGGGAUAACUAUUGGAAACGAUAGCUAAUACCGCAUAAUAUUUAUUAUUGCAUGAUAAUUAAUUGUAAGGUGCAAUUGCACCACUACCAGAUGGACUUGCGUUGUAUUAGCUAGUAGGUGAGGUAACGGCUCACCUAGGCGACGAUACAUAGCCGACCUGAGAGGGUGAUCGGCCACACUGGGACUGAGACACGGCCCAGACUCCUACGGGAGGCAGCAGUAGGGAAUCUUCGGCAAUGGACGAAAGUCUGACCGAGCAACGCCGCGUGAGUGAAGAAGGGUUUCGGAUCGUAAAGCUCUGUUGUAAGAGAAGAACGGGUGUGAGAGUGGAAAGUUCACACUGUGACGGUAUCUUACCAGAAAGGGACGGCUAACUACGUG
RNAcentral lists this ribosomal RNA (505 nucleotides) under uncultured bacterium. RNAcentral's name for it is "partial 16S ribosomal RNA". It matches the Rfam family "Bacterial small subunit ribosomal RNA", at positions 28 to 507 of the family's 1533-position model. The record is from RNAcentral.